RNAcentral lists this unclassified non-coding RNA (346 nucleotides) under soil metagenome. Its description in RNAcentral is "partial contains 5.8S ribosomal RNA, internal transcribed spacer 2, and large subunit ribosomal RNA". The stretch from base 1 to 120 matches the Rfam family "5.8S ribosomal RNA", at positions 35 to 154 of the family's 154-position model. The record is from RNAcentral.
GAUGAAGAACGUAGCGAAAUGCGAUAAGUAAUGUGAAUUGCAGAAUUCAGUGAAUCAUCGAAUCUUUGAACGCACAUUGCGCCCGCUGGUAUUCCGGCGGGCAUGCCUGUUCGAGCGUCAUUUCAACCCUCAAGCCCCCGGGUUUGGUGUUGGGGAUCGGCUCUGCCCUUCUGGGCGGUGCCGCCCCCGAAAUACAUUGGCGGUCUCGCUGCAGCCUCCAUUGCGUAGUAGCUAACACCUCGCAACUGGAACGCGGCGCGGCCAUGCCGUAAAACCCCAACUUCUGAAUGUUGACCUCGGAUCAGGUAGGAAUACCCGCUGAACUUAAGCAUAUCAUAGCGGAGGA